GGACGAACGCUGGCGGCGUGCCUAAUACAUGCAAGUAGAACGCACAGUUUAUACCGUAGCUUGCUACACCAUAAACUGUGAGUUGCGAACGGGUGAGUAACGCGUAGGUAACCUGCCUGGUAGCGGGGGAUAACUAUUGGAAACGAUAGCUAAUACCGCAUAAUAUUGAUUAUUGCAUGAUAAUUGAUUGAAAGAUGCUAUUGCAUCACUACCAGAUGGACCUGCGUUGUAUUAGCUAGUAGGUGAGGUAACGGCUCACCUAGGCGACGAUACAUAGCCGACCUGAGAGGGUGAUCGGCCACACUGGGACUGAGACACGGCCCAGACUCCUACGGGAGGCAGCAGUAGGGAAUCUUCGGCAAUGGACGAAAGUCUGACCGAGCAACGCCGCGUGAGUGAAGAAGGUUUUCGGAUCGUAAAGCUCUGUUGUAAGAGAAGAACGGGUGUGAGAGUGGAAAGUUCACACUGUGACGGUAUCUUACCAGAAAGGGACGGCUAACUACGUG
Molecule: ribosomal RNA, 506 nt
Filed under: uncultured bacterium
Lineage: Bacteria
Description: partial 16S ribosomal RNA
Rfam family: Bacterial small subunit ribosomal RNA
Source: RNAcentral